This 440-nucleotide ribosomal RNA is filed under the name uncultured bacterium. RNAcentral describes it as "partial 16S ribosomal RNA". It matches the Rfam family "Bacterial small subunit ribosomal RNA", at positions 339 to 795 of the family's 1533-position model. The record is from RNAcentral.
CUACGGGCGGCUGCAGUGAGGAAUAUUGCACAAUGGGCGAAAGCCUGAUGCAGCAACGCCGCGUGGGUGAUGAAGGCCUUCGGGUUGUAAAACCCUUUUCUGGGGGACGAGGAGGGACGGUACCUCAGGAAUAAGCCUCGGCUAACUACGUGCCAGCAGCCGCGGUAAAACGUAGGAGGCGAGCGUUAUUCGGAUUUACUGGGCGUAAAGCGCGUGCAGGCGGUUCUGUAAGUUGGAGGUUAAAUCUCUCGGCUCAACUGAGAGGCGUCCUUCAAAACUGCAGGGCUUGAGGAUGGGAGAGGGAAGUGGAAUUCCCGGUGUAGUGGUGGAAUGCGUAGAUAUCGGGAGGAACACCAGUGGCGAAGGCGGCUUCCUGGCCCAUACCUGACGCUAAGACGCGAAAGCGUGGGGAGCGAACGGGAUUAGAUACCCCCGUAGUC